GAUUUCACGUGGGUCUGAAUUGCUCUCAGCUGCUAGCGGUUUAGACACUGAUCAUGUCCGCAUUUAUACCGCGCACCUCCCAGCACACAAUGCGGAAGAUUAAAUGUUUUGAGCUAGUUUAACGCGUAUCAUAGUCAUGGUCCAUGUUUAGAGUUAGUUCGCGCUGGAUUAUCCGCUUUCAGCCCCUCGUCAUAGUUCGUUUCUUGUUUUGUUUAUUGACCUAGAUUCCUGCCUUGCCCCGUGUAUGCCUGUUUGCCAAUUGCCUGACCUCUUGCAUGUUUGUGGAUUACGUUUUGGAUCACGUUUUGGAUUUGUCUGCCUAUCUCUCUUUCUAAUAAACAACUGUUCAUCCUGCACUUGCAUCCGUCCUAUCUCUGCUCCAUCACGAUUCGUGACAACUGGGCCGUGGAGGAGCCUGGAGACUAUCCCAGGGAACCUGGAAACAAGGUGGGGGACACCCUGGACAGUCAACCUACAACACAUGUCUUUGGACUGGGGGAAGAAACCAGAGUACCGAAAGAAAACCCUUGAAGCUUGGGGAGAACAUACACACAGGUUAGAGGUUACAGAGGAUCCAAAGCCUCCACAUCUCAGGAAUACUGGGAGUGAACCUCGGGAAUAAUGCAUUGCACCUUUUGUUUGAACCCACUCAUUUUUUCAAGUGAUCAGGUGUGCCCUGUUAAAUCAGAAUGUCUACUCUUGGUUUGAGCCCUAGGUUUCACCUGUGAAGACUGCAUUUGUUGUUAAAAAGGAUAAACAAACAUGAAGACUAGAGAGCUGUCUAUGGGAGAAAAGCAACUCAUUUUGAAGCUGAGAAAAGAAGGAAAAUCUAUCAGAGCCAUUACAUAAGCAUUGGGCAAUCAGCAAUGCAACAAUUUGGAAUGUCUUGGAAAAAAAUAGUGGUGUACUAACAACUUGACAUGGAGAAUGGGUCAGACAAGGAAAUCUACAGCAGUUGAUGACAGAAACAUUGUGAAAGCUAUGAAGAGAAAUGGAGAGGAUAGUAUGGCCAGGAGACAGGACACAGGGAGAACAUGUGAAACUCUACAUAAACAAUUUAGGCUCAGGAUUGAAUCAGAGCCCAUGGAGACAUUUCAUUUUAUAGUGUUUGAUUUCAUUUAAUUUAAUUUCAUCUUAUUUUACCCUCAAACCAGUGUCUCAUUUGAAACAUUUUGUUGCACACAACAUACACUUCUCUCCUUUUAGGAUGUUACUAGGGACUGACAAAUAAAAAUUCAAAGAUUUGCUCUAAAUCAACUACUAUGUGUAUGAGGAGUUUUGACCUCAUUAUCACUCCCACAUGAGAAACAGUGCUUCUGCAACAAAUUGCAUUUCUAGUCAGGCCAUCAGCGCAAAAGGAAUUUGCAUUAUCUGUGUUCAUACCAUAAAUGACUGUCUAGCUCGUGGAAAUUUCUUUAAAUGUGACGUGAAAAUGUAAGUAGUGCAUUUUAUUUCAGUUAAACUGGCAGAUAACUCAUUUUCUGCAGAGUCCACAUUACAGAUAAGCAGCAAUCAUGGAGACACCUCAUUAUGAAGACCUACCAAACAAGCUGAGCCAAGCAUAGAAUUGAAAAUAAUUUCGAUAAUAGCCUAUUUGUUUUGCACAAUGCAGUAUUAUAUAGCAGACAGGUCUGAGCUCAUUCCAAGAGUGUAACAGCGUUCUGUCCCUGCCCGCUGCAGAUUCAUUUAAUUAAAUGUUUAUUAAGCCCUUCAUGAAUUGAAUCUGGUAUGUUGUAAUACCCUGUGACUAGAUUUGGACAGCGUUGCUGUGUAUGCUAUGUUCCUGAACCUGAUAUAAGAACCAAUAAUCACAUUUGAGCAUUUUUUUUUUUAUUUUCUUUGUCAUGUAAUCGAUUUUAAUCCUCGCUUUUUAUACUGUCAUUACGCAAAUGGAGUCAUUUGUACCAUUCUGGCAAUGUGUUUUUUUUUUAAUUAUUAUAAAUAGAGAGGAUUUCUGAGACAGGAAAAUCUUAAUUUUUUUUGUCUUUUUAACUGAUGAAGGAAUGACUGUUUAUAGCUGCUAUAACGUAAGUGGUAACAGGAACGAACUUGUUUUCGCAACAUUCCACAACAUUAAACAUAACUAUAAAUGUAAGCAAAAAUGUGAUAUUAUUUAAUAAAUAAAAGAAUUGUUAAUAAAGUGGGAACAGUUCCGUGUUAUAAGAGAAAUAAGUGUAGUGUGUUAUAAGUUUUAUUUGUCAUAUUCCAAUUCAAUUUCCUAACACUAUACAAUAGCACAUUCCCUUGUGUUUUAAUCCACACGUUACGAUUCCUCAACUUCAGCAUUAAUACAUGAAGUAAUGGUGACAAAACAAAAAAGUUAAUUUAACAUUAGCUGCGUUUACAUGGACAACAAUAAUCCACUCUUAACCUGAUUAAGACCAUACUUUGAUUAAGAAACGACCAUGUAAACAGCUAUUUUUACUUACCUUAAUCUAAUUAAGGUCAUACUCGAAUUAAGCUCUAAUCUAAUUAAGACAGGUGGAGUACUCCUGUUUUAGUCGCAUUAUGGACAUGUAUUACAGACAUGUAAACACCUUAAUCACAUUAUGAACGUCGUGUGAGAGUUUUGACCGCAUUUUGCGACAGGACACGAUCACACACGACAGUUCUCAACAUUUUACGGCAAACAAGAGAGUUCGGCCACGUCCCAAACUGCAUACUUACCUACUAUAGGCUUGUAGUGGGGAAAAAUACAUGUAUCUCGGCUACUAUAUAGACGGUAAGUACGCGGUUUGAGACGCAGCCCACGGCUUCAAGCAGUUGUCUAUUUGCACGUACAGCAUGACAAAUAAUUAACUGCACUUAAAGCGUUCGUAAAAAAUUUAAUAAAAACACCCAAAACUGUAUACGGUACCAUAACGAAGACGAACUGUAUGUUGAUACGUGAAAUUCUGGAGGGACGUCUGACGGCGUGGCGCGGUGAUGUAAUGACGCGGGCUGUUAAUCCAAUUAUGUUCUAAAACAUGUAAAACGGGAACAUGAGAGGAGUUUUCUAAAAGCGACUCAUGUAAACACCUUAAUCACAUUAUUAUCUUACUGAGAGUAAAGUCAAUAAUUAGAUUACUGCUGUCCAUGUAAACGUAGUCAAAGAUGUUACUGUUUAAUUGAAGCAUGCUGUUAAAUUUGAGCAAAAAUUAAAUGCUUGAAAUAUGAGGAACUUGCCCUUUUGGACAUGCUGGUGCAUGUGUUUUACAGCGUUGUUGGGUUGUUGCUUUUUUUGCAUUCUCAAAUUUUGGAUUUUCUAAUUCACAUUAGAACCCACCAUUCAGUCUUACAGAUGAAAUUUUAACAAUAAAUCACUGUAAAUAUAUGAAUUGCAUUUCAGCCAUGACAACUCUGAGUGAAAUUGUGAGCUUUUAUAGAUAGAGAUGGAGUGUAAAUUUGGUUUGGUCUGGUGGACUAGAUCUGCUACACUGCUACUGCUGCUGCUGAGCGAGUAGGAAUGCUUGCUCUGAUAGUCACGGAGAGACAUAGAAAGAAGAGAAGAAUGCUGCUGCUGCAAAGGUUACGGAAGGAGGUGCCCUCCCCAAAACCAAGUGGACGGACUGUACUGAAAUACAGCACAGCCCUUGAUGAUGUAGAUCUGAAUGCCAGGACUUGAGCACUGCUGCUGCUCAGAGGAGGCACGAUACCCAAGUGUGUACUGGCUAUGCAUGCCUAGGCCUGCUUUGACGACUGGCUUAACGCUACUGAACUACUCCUAUGUGUUGGUAUGAUGACUAAUGGCCUAGCUGACUAUGUGUGUCUGGACUGGGAAGCCCAGAACUUAUUUAACUGUGACUUAGAGACUAUGUGUACCCAGCUGACUCCUUGGUUUGGACUAAAUAUAUAUGCAGAUCAUAGUGUGAGUGCAUGCCAAAAUUUUAAUUUUGACAUUUGUAUUUCUUGGAAAUUGAUAGGCAGUAGAACGAAUAAUGGACUGGGAUCGGGAUCACUAUGGAGCGGUAGGGAUUUGCAUUGCUUAGGCGAAUAGGAGAGUGUGUGCUCCUAAAGACCCAGCACCACCUGCAAAUGUUUCCUUUGAAUAAUCAUGUAGAAUUAUUAGUUUUUAAUUAAAUGUCCCUUGACUCGUUUAUGAGCAUGAAUAAGUUAUUGUCUGCUAUUGCCAGCGAUUGUCGAAUUAUAUCGACGUUGAUCAGCAAUUAUUAGCAUUUGUCAAUAUUUGUCAACAAUCGUAAGCAAUUAUGUUGUUGGGUUUUUUUUGGCAAGUAUCAGCAUUUAUAAAUGCCAGCAAUUAUCAGCAGUUAUCAGUGUUUUUUCAAGAUUUGUCAACAAUUAUCGGCAGUUAUCGGAAGUUAUCAGCAUUUAUCGACAUUUGCCAGCAAUCAUCAGCAGUUACCAACAUUUUUCGGCUAUCAGCAUUACCAGCAAUUAUAUGCAUUUAUCAGAAAUUAUGAGCAGUUAUCAGAAUUUGUCAGCAAUCACUGGCAAUUGUCAACAGUGACAAUUGCCAAUGAAUAAGACCGAUGUUCAUUAUGCAGUUUAUUUAGUUCAUUAUAUAAUCAAAUAUCAAUUACUACAAGAGUUAAUGACUAUGUUAGAAUUGCUUAGAGAAUAUUAAUGCUGACAAUCAUGGUUUUCUUACCUAAUGCAGUAAAUAACAUUAGUGAUACAUAUCACCUGGGCCGGAUUACAUCACAACAACAUAUGAUUCACUUGUUGCAUAUAACAUUUAUUGGCUCAUGAUAAUUGAUAAAGCAGGACAGAAAAGAAAAUGUGUGAUGCAGGGUUCUAAAUGAAAAAGAUGAAUGAAAGAAUCACUGCAGAUGAAUGAAAAGGUACAUUCCUGUUUCUAUGAAUUAUAAAAGAGUUGAAAAGAGAAGAGGGGAAAAGGAGGAAAAGGAGUGCAGCACAAUCUAAUUCAAAUCCUUGACCUACUCCAAGCAGAAAGAUCUGAAAUAAAUAAAAGAAAAUUGCCUAUUUCGCGUACUGAGUGUUUCCUGAUGAAAAACAUUCUGGACUGGAUAAGAGAGUUUUGAAUUUAGAUGUUUUAGGACAGAAUUUCCUUUAUUUGUUUUUAGCUUGGGGGAUCUAAUGUUGUAUGUAUAUAUU
Long non-coding RNA from Ictalurus punctatus (channel catfish), 5055 nucleotides. RefSeq lists it as uncharacterized. Lineage: Eukaryota; Metazoa; Chordata; Actinopteri; Siluriformes; Ictaluridae. The record is from RefSeq and is a predicted model, not a curated record. The transcript has 3 exons.